RNAcentral lists this ribosomal RNA (780 nucleotides) under Streptomyces sp. 41245. RNAcentral describes it as "bacterial SSU rRNA". It matches the Rfam family "Bacterial small subunit ribosomal RNA", at positions 91 to 882 of the family's 1533-position model. Lineage: Bacteria; Bacillati; Actinomycetota; Actinomycetes; Kitasatosporales; Streptomycetaceae. The record is from RNAcentral.
AUUAGUGGCGAACGGGUGAGUAACACGUGGGCAAUCUGCCCUGCACUCUGGGACAAGCCCUGGAAACGGGGUCUAAUACCGGAUACGACCAUCUCGGGCAUCCGAUGGUGGUGGAAAGCUCCGGCGGUGCAGGAUGAGCCCGCGGCCUAUCAGCUUGUUGGUGGGGUGAUGGCCUACCAAGGCGACGACGGGUAGCCGGCCUGAGAGGGCGACCGGCCACACUGGGACUGAGACACGGCCCAGACUCCUACGGGAGGCAGCAGUGGGGAAUAUUGCACAAUGGGCGGAAGCCUGAUGCAGCGACGCCGCGUGAGGGAUGACGGCCUUCGGGUUGUAAACCUCUUUCAGCAGGGAAGAAGCGCAAGUGACGGUACCUGCAGAAGAAGCACCGGCUAACUACGUGCCAGCAGCCGCGGUAAUACGUAGGGUGCGAGCGUUGUCCGGAAUUAUUGGGCGUAAAGAGCUCGUAGGCGGCUUGUCGCGUCGGAUGUGAAAGCCCGGGGCUUAACCCCGGGUCUGCAUUCGAUACGGGCAGGCUAGAGUUCGGUAGGGGAGAUCGGAAUUCCUGGUGUAGCGGUGAAAUGCGCAGAUAUCAGGAGGAACACCGGUGGCGAAGGCGGAUCUCUGGGCCGAUACUGACGCUGAGGAGCGAAAGCGUGGGGAGCGAACAGGAUUAGAUACCCUGGUAGUCCACGCCGUAAACGUUGGGAACUAGGUGUGGGCGACAUUCCACGUCGUCCGUGCCGCAGCUAACGCAUUAAGUUCCCCGCCUGGGGAGUA